GACGAACGCUGGCGGCGUGCUUAACACAUGCAAGUCGAACGGAAAGGCCCUGCUUUUGUGGGGUGCUCGAGUGGCGAACGGGUGAGUAACGCGUGAGUAACCUGCCCUUGACUUUGGGAUAACUUCAGGAAACUGGGGCUAAUACCGGAUAGGAGCUCCUGCUGCAUGGUGGGGGUUGGAAAGUUUCGGCGGUUGGGGAUGGACUCGCGGCUUAUCAGCUUGUUGGUGGGGUAGUGGCUUACCAAGGCUUUGACGGGUAGCCGGCCUGAGAGGGUGACCGGCCACAUUGGGACUGAGAUACGGCCCAGACUCCUACGGGAGGCAGCAGUGGGGAAUAUUGCACAAUGGGCGGAAGCCUGAUGCAGCAACGCCGCGUGCGGGAUGACGGCCUUCGGGUGGUAAACCGCUUUCGCCUGUGACGAAGCGUGAGUGACGGUAAUGGGUAAAGAAGCACCGGCUAACUACGU
This 467-nucleotide ribosomal RNA is filed under the name uncultured bacterium. RNAcentral's name for it is "partial 16S ribosomal RNA". It matches the Rfam family "Bacterial small subunit ribosomal RNA", at positions 28 to 506 of the family's 1533-position model. The record is from RNAcentral.